Molecule: long non-coding RNA, 79 nt
Filed under: Ficedula albicollis (Collared flycatcher)
Lineage: Eukaryota; Metazoa; Chordata; Aves; Passeriformes; Muscicapidae
Description: lncRNA (ENSFALG00000027461.1)
Source: RNAcentral
UCGAGGAAGUCAGAAGCAGCUGACAGCUCCUGGGUCCCUGAAUGCCUGGGUGACAAAGAGAUAGCUGGAUGAAUCUAUU